ACCCGUAGCUCAGCUGGAUAGAGUAGGUGGCUUCGAACCACUUGGUCGGGAGUUCGAUAAAACGCGCAGCGUUUUAGACGGCUGAAAGCCGCCCCGAAGGGGUG
RNAcentral lists this transfer RNA (104 nucleotides) under Pseudohongiella sp. Its description in RNAcentral is "tRNA-Arg". The record is from RNAcentral. Lineage: Bacteria; Pseudomonadati; Pseudomonadota; Gammaproteobacteria; Pseudomonadales; Pseudohongiellaceae.